This 545-nucleotide ribosomal RNA is filed under the name Neobacillus fumarioli. RNAcentral's name for it is "bacterial SSU rRNA". It matches the Rfam family "Bacterial small subunit ribosomal RNA", at positions 372 to 910 of the family's 1533-position model. The record is from RNAcentral. Lineage: Bacteria; Bacillati; Bacillota; Bacilli; Caryophanales; Bacillaceae.
GGGACGAAGUCUGAUGGAGCACGCCGCGUGAGCGAUGAAGGCCUUCGGGUCGUAAAGCUCUGUUGUUAGGGAAGAACAAGUACCGGAGUAACUGCCGGUACCUUGACGGUACCUAACCAGAAAGCCACGGCUAACUACGUGCCAGCAGCCGCGGUAAUACGUAGGUGGCAAGCGUUGUCCGGAAUUAUUGGGCGUAAAGCGCGCGCAGGCGGUCCUUUAAGUCUGAUGUGAAAGCCCACGGCUCAACCGUGGAGGGUCAUUGGAAACUGGGGGACUUGAGUGCAGAAGAGGAAAGCGGAAUUCCACGUGUAGCGGUGAAAUGCGUAGAGAUGUGGAGGAACACCAGUGGCGAAGGCGGCUUUCUGGUCUGUAACUGACGCUGAGGCGCGAAAGCGUGGGGAGCAAACAGGAUUAGAUACCCUGGUAGUCCACGCCGUAAACGAUGAGUGCUAAGUGUUAGAGGGUUUCCGCCCUUUAGUGCUGCAGCUAACGCAUUAAGCACUCCGCCUGGGGAGUACGGCCGCAAGGCUGAAACUCAAAGGAAA